GGCUGAGGCAGGAAGAUCACUUGCAUUCAAGGCCAGCCUACGCUACAUAGUGAGCUCAAGGCAGGCCUGUACUACAAAGUGAGACUCUGUCUCGAUAAAAUAAAAUAAAAGUUAAAGUGCAGAUGCCAGUGUAGACAUUUAAAAAGUUAGAGUGGUAAACAAGCAAGCAGCUGUCAUUUACCUUUGCUAAACUCCCUGCUCCUAGGUUUGGUCCAAAGUGAUCCUAAAGAUCAACUGACCCAUUACACUGCAGUUGCGUUUUCCCACUGGUGGAUUUGGGGUAGGCUUUCUCGGGAGAGAUGCCUGUCAUUUCUAGUGGAUUACACUCCAGGAAAAAAGUCAGGCCUGUGUUAUUUCAGUUGUUCUGGCGCUGAUCCCCCAGCUCACAAUUAUGGUCUUUGACUUUGGUAACAGUUCUGUUUGAAAUGUUUCCAGUUACACACAAUAUUGGUGGCAUGUAGCAGCUGCAUGCCAAAAAGCAUUUCUAAGUGUGCUCCAAGAGUCAGGCUGUGAUUGCUUUUAAUUUAAAUAAAGGCUAUUUGGUUUCCUGUGAUGUUUUUUAUAACCACCUUUUCCUCCACGUGUGUUGCCUUUUUAAAAAAUCUAAUAUAAAGUAGCCACCACUUAAUGAGACAUAAUAUUGGCCCUGGUUUUCUAGGAUGCCAUUUGCUUUGAGCAAGCACAAGGGACUUUUUAAUAAAGGAAUUUUAAAGAAACAUUGUAAUGCAAUUUGGAUUUCCCCAAAGAAGAAAAGGGGGAAAGGUUAUCUGAUACCAUAUUGUAAGUAGUUAAUGUUUUCAAGUUUUCUUCCCUUCCUCUUUGGAGACCUAUCAUACUUAUCUUUUUAGAUCACCAGAUAUCACCCAAUACACUGUCUUUUUUUUUAUUCCUCUAUUUUCUUUUGGUAGAUUCAUAAAGAAGUGUUUAAAAAAACUUUAAAAGGAUAGAGAAAGGUUAAUAAGAACAUUCUUUAAAAAGAGGAGAAGCUGGCAAAUAAUUUCACAGUCUACAGAAACUAAACCCUCCAAAUCUGCCUCUUCUGUGGGCUUGAAAUUUCUGAACACUGAAACCUUUUAAAACUUCGGUGGCUUCAAUCUUUUAAUAGCUACCACGUAUAUUUGAUUUAUUAAGUCUGAAAAUAAGAAAAUAUACACUCUCAGGACUUGGAGUGAAUGGAUUGGUAAUAGGACUGGGGAGUUCUGUUCUCAGGACUUUGUUGGACCACCUGAAACGGAACACCGGCGCUAGAAGAGAGCCCACGGGUGAGGUGCUAAGAUGGUCCCAAUUAAGGUGUUUUUACACGAGCCCUUUCAGUCCUGGCAAAACACCCCAGAGAAUGCAGUGGUUCUUUGGGUGGAACAGUAGCUGACUUGCAUAAAUGCCAACAUCUCUUCUGGCGUUUUUGGAAAUCUUCCAUCAUGUAAUAAAUAGUGCUGUAUAAACCAAAUUUGUAAAUGCCAUGUUUCAUGUUGCUCCUGUAGAGACAGCUGAAAUUAACCCAGGCUGCUAGGGACCACGGAGAUCCUGGAGGUUAGUGUACUGCCUAAACCCAAAGCAUGAUCAGGGACAAAGGCUAGUGGAGGUCUUUGAUCACAUUUGGGAGAAGGUAUGAGAUUAGUUUUUAAUAGGGCGGGGUGCCAUGAAGAAGUGCCCGCCAGCCAAUACUUUGACUUUUUCUUUUCAUCCUCUUUAUCCUUGGAGACUGUCUUUCAACUGAAC
This 1719-nucleotide long non-coding RNA is filed under the name Heterocephalus glaber (naked mole-rat). RNAcentral describes it as "lncRNA (ENSHGLG00000050210.1)". Lineage: Eukaryota; Metazoa; Chordata; Mammalia; Rodentia; Bathyergidae. The record is from RNAcentral.